GGGUUGUGAGGUUAAGCGACUAAGCGUACACGGUGGAUGCCCUGGCAGUCAGAGGCGAUGAAGGACGUGCUAAUCUGCGAUAAGCGUCGGUAAGGUGAUAUGAACCGUUAUAACCGGCGAUUUCCGAAUGGGGAAACCCAGUGUGUUUCGACACACUAUCAUUAACUGAAUCCAUAGGUUAAUGAGGCGAACCGGGGGAACUGAAACAUCUAAGUACCCCGAGGAAAAGAAAUCAACCGAGAUUCCCCCAGUAGCGGCGAGCGAACGGGGAGCAGCCCAGAGCCUGAAUCAGUGUGUGUGUUAGUGGAAGCGUCUGGAAAGGCGCGCGAUACAGGGUGACAGCCCCGUACACAAAAAUGCACAUGCUGUGAGCUCGAUGAGUAGGGCGGGACACGUGGUAUCCUGUCUGAAUAUGGGGGGACCAUCCUCCAAGGCUAAAUACUCCUGACUGACCGAUAGUGAACCAGUACCGUGAGGGAAAGGCGAAAAGAACCCCGGCGAGGGGAGUGAAAAAGAACCUGAAACCGUGUACGUACAAGCAGUGGGAGCACGCUUAGGCGUGUGACUGCGUACCUUUUGUAUAAUGGGUCAGCGACUUAUAUUCUGUAGCAAGGUUAACCGAAUAGGGGAGCCGAAGGGAAACCGAGUCUUAACUGGGCGUUAAGUUGCAGGGUAUAGACCCGAAACCCGGUGAUCUAGCCAUGGGCAGGUUGAAGGUUGGGUAACACUAACUGGAGGACCGAACCGACUAAUGUUGAAAAAUUAGCGGAUGACUUGUGGCUGGGGGUGAAAGGCCAAUCAAACCGGGAGAUAGCUGGUUCUCCCCGAAAGCUAUUUAGGUAGCGCCUCGUGAAUUCAUCUCCGGGGGUAGAGCACUGUUUCGGCAAGGGGGUCAUCCCGACUUACCAACCCGAUGCAAACUGCGAAUACCGGAGAAUGUUAUCACGGGAGACACACGGCGGGUGCUAACGUCCGUCGUGAAGAGGGAAACAACCCAGACCGCCAGCUAAGGUCCCAAAGUCAUGGUUAAGUGGGAAACGAUGUGGGAAGGCCCAGACAGCCAGGAUGUUGGCUUAGAAGCAGCCAUCAUUUAAAGAAAGCGUAAUAGCUCACUGGUCGAGUCGGCCUGCGCGGAAGAUGUAACGGGGCUAAACCAUGCACCGAAGCUGCGGCAGCGACACUAUGUGUUGUUGGGUAGGGGAGCGUUCUGUAAGCCUGUGAAGGUGUGCUGUGAGGCAUGCUGGAGGUAUCAGAAGUGCGAAUGCUGACAUAAGUAACGAUAAAGCGGGUGAAAAGCCCGCUCGCCGGAAGACCAAGGGUUCCUGUCCAACGUUAAUCGGGGCAGGGUGAGUCGACCCCUAAGGCGAGGCCGAAAGGCGUAGUCGAUGGGAAACAGGUUAAUAUUCCUGUACUUGGUGUUACUGCGAAGGGGGGACGGAGAAGGCUAUGUUGGCCGGGCGACGGUUGUCCCGGUUUAAGCGUGUAGGCUGGUUUUCCAGGCAAAUCCGGAAAAUCAAGGCUGAGGCGUGAUGACGAGGCACUACGGUGCUGAAGCAACAAAUGCCCUGCUUCCAGGAAAAGCCUCUAAGCAUCAGGUAACAUCAAAUCGUACCCCAAACCGACACAGGUGGUCAGGUAGAGAAUACCAAGGCGCUUGAGAGAACUCGGGUGAAGGAACUAGGCAAAAUGGUGCCGUAACUUCGGGAGAAGGCACGCUGAUAUGUAGGUGAGGUCCCUCGGAGCGACUUGCUCCCCUUCGCGGAUGGAGCUGAAAUCAGUCGAAGAUACCAGCUGGCUGCAACUGUUUAUUAAAAACACAGCACUGUGCAAACACGAAAGUGGACGUAUACGGUGUGACGCCUGCCCGGUGCCGGAAGGUUAAUUGAUGGGGUUAGCGCAAGCGAAGCUCUUGAUCGAAGCCCCGGUAAACGGCGGCCGUAACUAUAACGGUCCUAAGGUAGCGAAAUUCCUUGUCGGGUAAGUUCCGACCUGCACGAAUGGCGUAAUGAUGGCCAGGCUGUCUCCACCCGAGACUCAGUGAAAUUGAACUCGCUGUGAAGAUGCAGUGUACCCGCGGCAAGACGGAAAGACCCCGUGAACCUUUACUAUAGCUUGACACUGAACAUUGAGCCUUGAUGUGUAGGAUAGGUGGGAGGCUUUGAAGUGUGGACGCCAGUCUGCAUGGAGCCGACCUUGAAAUACCACCCUUUAAUGUUUGAUGUUCUAACGUUGACCCGUAAUCCGGGUUGCGGACAGUGUCUGGUGGGUAGUUUGACUGGGGCGGUCUCCUCCUAAAGAGUAACGGAGGAGCACGAAGGUUGGCUAAUCCUGGUCGGACAUCAGGAGGUUAGUGCAAUGGCAUAAGCCAGCUUGACUGCGAGCGUGACGGCGCGAGCAGGUGCGAAAGCAGGUCAUAGUGAUCCGGUGGUUCUGAAUGGAAGGGCCAUCGCUCAACGGAUAAAAGGUACUCCGGGGAUAACAGGCUGAUACCGCCCAAGAGUUCAUAUCGACGGCGGUGUUUGGCACCUCGAUGUCGGCUCAUCACAUCCUGGGGCUGAAGUAGGUCCCAAGGGUAUGGCUGUUCGCCAUUUAAAGUGGUACGCGAGCUGGGUUUAGAACGUCGUGAGACAGUUCGGUCCCUAUCUGCCGUGGGCGCUGGAGAACUGAGGGGGGCUGCUCCUAGUACGAGAGGACCGGAGUGGACGCAUCACUGGUGUUCGGGUUGUCAUGCCAAUGGCACUGCCCGGUAGCUAAAUGCGGAAGAGAUAAGUGCUGAAAGCAUCUAAGCACGAAACUUGCCCCGAGAUGAGUUCUCCCUGACUCCUUGAGAGUCCUGAAGGAACGUUGAAGACGACGACGUUGAUAGGCCGGGUGUGUAAGCGCAGCGAUGCGUUGAGCUAACCGGUACUAAUGAACCGUGAGGCUUAACCUUACAACGCCGAAGGUGUUU
RNAcentral lists this ribosomal RNA (2950 nucleotides) under Escherichia coli. RNAcentral's name for it is "23S ribosomal RNA". It matches the Rfam family "Bacterial large subunit ribosomal RNA". The record is from RNAcentral. Lineage: Bacteria; Pseudomonadati; Pseudomonadota; Gammaproteobacteria; Enterobacterales; Enterobacteriaceae.